Molecule: ribosomal RNA, 496 nt
Filed under: uncultured bacterium
Lineage: Bacteria
Description: bacterial SSU rRNA
Rfam family: Bacterial small subunit ribosomal RNA
Source: RNAcentral
GACGAACGCUGGCGGCGUGCUUAACACAUGCAAGUCGAGCGGUAAGGCCCUUUCGGGGGUACACGAGCGGCGAACGGGUGAGUAACACGUGGGUGACCUGCCCUCAGCUCUGGGAUAAGCCUGGGAAACUGGGUCUAAUACUGGAUAUGACUCCACGGUGCAUGUCGUGGGGUGGAAAGCCUUGUGCGGCUGAGGAUGGGCCCGCGGCCUAUCAGCUUGUUGGUGGGGUGANGGCCUACCAAGGCGACGACGGGUAGCCGGCCUGAGAGGGCGACCGGCCACACUGGGACUGAGACACGGCCCAGACUCCUACGGGAGGCAGCAGUGGGGAAUAUUGGACAAUGGGGGCAACCCUGAUCCAGCGACGCCGCGUGUGUGAAGAAGGCCUGCGGGUUGUAAAGCACUUUAGUGGGGAUGAAAAGUACAUCGCUAAUACCGGUGUAUCUUUGACCUAACCCAAAGAAAAGACACCGGCUAACUCUGUGCCAGCAGCCGC